CGCGCGAUACAGGGUGACAGCCCCGUACACAAAAGCGCAUGUGCUGUGAGCUCGAUGAGUAGGGCGGGACACGUGGUAUCCUGUCUGAAUAUGGGGGGACCAUCCUCCAAGGCUAAAUACUCCUGACUGACCGAUAGUGAACCAGUACCGUGAGGGAAAGGCGAAAAGAACCCCGGCGAGGGGAGUGAAAAAGAACCUGAAACCGUGUACGUACAAGCAGUGGGAGCACAGGUUUACCUGUGUGACUGCGUACCUUUUGUAUAAUGGGUCAGCGACUUAUAUUCUGUAGCAAGGUUAACCGAAUAGGGGAGCCGGAGGGAAACCGAGUCUUAAUUGGGCGUUAAGUUGCAGGGUAUAGACCCGAAACCCGGUGAUCUAGCCAUGGGCAGGUUGAAGGUUGGGUAACACUAACUGGAGGACCGAACCGACUAAUGUUGAAAAAUUAGCGGAUGACCUGUGGCUGGGGGUGAAAGGCCAAUCAAACCGGGAGAUAGCUGGUUCUCCCCGAAAGCUAUUUAGGUAGCGCCUCGUGAAUUCAUCUCCGGGGGUAGAGCACUGUUUCGGCUAGGGGGCCAUCCCGGCUUACCAACCCGAUGCAAACUGCGAAUACCGGAGAAUGUUAUCACGGGAGACACACGGCGGGUGCUAACGUCCGUCGUGAAGAGGGAAACAACCCAGACCGCCAGCUAAGGUCCCAAAGUCAUGGUUAAGUGGGAAACGAUGUGGGAAGGCCCAGACAGCCAGGAUGUUGGCUUAGAAGCAGCCAUCAUUUAAAGAAAGCGUAAUAGCUCACUGGUCGAGUCGGCCUGCGCGGAAGAUGUAACGGGGCUAAACCAUGCACCGAAGCUGCGGCAGCGACGCUUAUGCGUUGUUGGGUAGGGGAGCGUUCUGUAAGCCUGUGAAGGUGGCCUGUGAGGGUUGCUGGAGGUAUCAGAAGUGCGAAUGCUGACAUAAGUAACGAUAAAGCGGGUGAAAAGCCCGCUCGCCGGAAGACCAAGGGUUCCUGUCCAACGUUAAUCGGGGCAGGGUGAGUCGACCCCUAAGGCGAGGCCGAAAGGCGUAGUCGAUGGGAAACGGGUUAAUAUUCCCGUACUUGGUGUUACUGCGAAGGGGGGACGGAGAAGGCUAUGUUGGCCGGGCGACGGUUGUCCCGGUUUAAGCGUGUAGGUGUGUGUUCCAGGUAAAUCCGGUUCACUUUAACACUGAGGCGUGAUGACGAGGCACUACGGUGCUGAAGUAACAAAUGCCCUGCUUCCAGGAAAAGCCUCUAAGCAUCAGGUAACAUCAAAUCGUACCCCAAACCGACACAGGUGGUCAGGUAGAGAAUACCAAGGCGCUUGAGAGAACUCGGGUGAAGGAACUAGGCAAAAUGGUGCCGUAACUUCGGGAGAAGGCACGCUGACAC
This 1405-nucleotide ribosomal RNA is filed under the name Salmonella enterica. RNAcentral's name for it is "partial 23S ribosomal RNA". It matches the Rfam family "Bacterial large subunit ribosomal RNA", at positions 351 to 1757 of the family's 2925-position model. The record is from RNAcentral. Lineage: Bacteria; Pseudomonadati; Pseudomonadota; Gammaproteobacteria; Enterobacterales; Enterobacteriaceae.